Molecule: long non-coding RNA, 244 nt
Organism: Mytilus californianus (California mussel)
Lineage: Eukaryota; Metazoa; Mollusca; Bivalvia; Mytilida; Mytilidae
Exons: 3
Source: RefSeq, a predicted model, not a curated record
UUGUCGAAAAACGACGAUUAGGACAUGUGAUUGUGAAAGCGAAAGUAGAACACGCGAGAGACCGCACGAGUCGGGGAAAACUUACUGUUCACAGAAACCCAAAGGCACAGUAGAUUGUCCCUGUUUGGUUUUUAAUUAUUAUUAAAGAGCUGAGUUUUGCAAAAGUAAAACAACAGAAGAAAUGUUGGAAUAUGUAUAACCAAUGUAAAGAAUAUUCUGAUACUACAACAGAAAGAAAUAGAAG